UAAUCGCGCAUCAGCCACGGCGCGGUGAAUACGUUCCCGGGCCUUGUACACACCGCCCGUCAAGCCAUGGAAGCCGGGGGUGCCUGAAGUGCGCUGCCGCAAGGAGCGCCCUAGGGUAAAACCGGUGACUGGGGCUAAGUCGUAACAAGGUAUC
This 154-nucleotide ribosomal RNA is filed under the name uncultured bacterium. RNAcentral's name for it is "partial 16S ribosomal RNA". It matches the Rfam family "Bacterial small subunit ribosomal RNA", at positions 1339 to 1500 of the family's 1533-position model. The record is from RNAcentral.